This is a long non-coding RNA of Oncorhynchus gorbuscha (pink salmon), 2070 nucleotides long. RefSeq lists it as uncharacterized. The transcript has 2 exons. The record is from RefSeq and is a predicted model, not a curated record. Lineage: Eukaryota; Metazoa; Chordata; Actinopteri; Salmoniformes; Salmonidae.
ACCCCUAGCCAGUACUGUCUCUACACACACCUGAUCAGCCCCUAGCCAGUACUGUCUCUACACACACCUGAUCAGCCCCUAGCCAGUACUGUCUCUACACACACCUGAUCAGCCCCUAGCCAGUACUGUCUCUACACACACCUGAUCAGCCCCUAGCCAGUACUGUCUCUAGACACACCUGAUCAGCUCCUAGCCAGUACUGUCUCUACACACACCUGAUCAGCCCCUAGCCAGUACUGUCUCUACACACACCUGAUCAGCUCCUAGCCAGUACUGUCUCUAGACACACCUGAUCAGCUCCUAGCCAGUACUGUCUCUAGACACACCUGAUCAGCCCCUAGCCAGUACUGUCUCUAGACACACCUGAUCAGCCCCUAGCCAGUACUGUCUCUAGACACCCGUGUAGAUCUGAAAGGAGCCGAUUUUAAGCAGUAUUCAUGUUUUUCUGCCUUGCUGUUCGGGGGAUUUUUACCAUAUUGCUAAGACCUAUCCAUUCAUUUCAGAUCUAGAGGUAUGUCUUGGGCGUAGGAGUUGAUUUGGGAUUCAGCACCAGUGUCGAUGUUUUUGUUCAGAAGUUUUCCGCGAAGCCAUUUUGUUUGUCUGUUCAGAAUUCAGAUUGUGUUUAACGUAAAUGCUUUGGGUUGCUGUUUGGAAGUAUGUACCUGUUCCUUUCAUUUCAACACUUCAAAUAAAGCCUUAAGUCUGUGGACAUUUCACCCUAACAUUCCUGUCGACUUGAGUUGGGGAGUCUCAUGGUCUGCAGGGGGACUGACUGCUGCUAUGGGUUCGAUUGGAGGAAUCUUCUCAAUCACUGUGAAAAGAUGUUUUGGGGUAAUACUGGUCAAAAAGGUACUUCACCUAAUGCAAUCUCAAUGAGUCUUCACAUGUAGAUGAGAGAUUUUUGAGCCAUCUCACCACCAUUUGCAGAUUCUGGCUGUAUCCAUUUUGUCUGGGGGUAAAGGGAGCAUUCCCCCCAACAGACCCCUUCCCUGCUCCCCAUCUCGAUUCACUCCAAAGAACUCUGCAAGUGUCACCAAGACUACGUUUUGGAAGAAACACUGCAUGCAAACAACUUUUCAUAAAGGACAUUUGAGUGCAGAGAGAAGAAGCCAGAGGAAUGACUGGGUUGGAAGUCUUCUGCUAAUGUUCUCAGCUGUAAAAUAAUAAAAAUAAUCAACAUGGAAACACUACACUGCCCAAGGAGUGUCCUUUUGGAAGGAGGAGGUAUACGUGAAGGAUAUGUGCUGUCCUUUUGGAAGGAGGAGGUAUACGUGAAGGAUAUGUGCUGUCCUUUUGGAAGGAGGAGGUAUAAGUGAAGGAUAUGUGCUGUCCUUUUGGAAGGAGGAGGUAUAAGUGAAGGAUAUGUGCUGUCCUUUUGGAAGGAGGAGGUAUAAGUGAAGGAUAUGUGCUGUCCUUUUGGAAGGAGGAGGUAUAAGUGAAGGAUAUGUGCUGUCCUUUUGGAAGGAGGAGGUAUAAGUGAAGGAUAUGUGCGUAGCAACUUGUGAUUAAUGUUUUGACUGACGGUGUAUUGCUGUGAGGUGAUGGCUGUAUUGCGGUCGUGGUUGGGUUUUCGUGUGAUGAAUAAAAGAUUCUAGUGUUUUCUCGUCAUAACUUACUAAGGGGCCUAUGUUUUGACACAACGAGCCCUUUAACUUAACAUCUAGUUUUUUCUGCUUGUCUUUUUAAAGAACGAAAAACUGCUUUAGUCCAAUUUAUUGUUUUGAUACUGACAUUUUUACAAUGUUCUUUUCCAGUAAAUGUUGAUAGAUUUACACUCUAAUGCUGGUUUGUCAGAACCAUAUGUAAUGUAUCUAUAUAUCCUCUAUACAUAAUAUAAAACAUUGAUUUAAGGGCUAUUCUAGCCUACUUGAGUUUAACACUGGAGUCACAGUAUGCAAAUAUAAUGCAUAAAAAAACUAUUGGGUACAGAGGUUUCUUAGUGUUAAACUGACAGAGAAAAAGCCUUAAAUGUGCCGUGCUACAGAUUGUCAUUCAUGUUGGCUGUGUUGCUUUCAGGCAACACGGUGGAUGUUUUAAUGCUUAAUGGAAUAAAGAAUGCAUGGAAUUACA